UAGCGGAGGAAAAGAAACCAACAGGGAUUGCCCUAGUAACGGCGAGUGAAGCGGCAACAGCUCAAAUUUGAAAGCUAGCCUUCGGGUUCGCAUUGUAAUUUGUAGAGGAUGCUUUGGGUAAAACGCCAGUCUAAGUUCCUUGGAACAGGACGUCAUAGAGGGUGAGAAUCCCGUAUGUGACUGGAAAUGUUAACCUAUGUAAAGCUCCUUCGACGAGUCGAGUUGUUUGGGAAUGCAGCUCUAAAUGGGAGGUAAAUUUCUUCUAAAGCUAAAUAUUGGCGAGAGACCGAUAGCGCACAAGUAGAGUGAUCGAAAGAUGAAAAGCACUUUGGAAAGAGAGUUAAAAAGCACGUGAAAUUGUUGAAAGGGAAGCGCUUGCAAUCAGACUUGUUUAAACUGUUCGGCCGGUCUUCUGACCGGUUUACUCAGUUUGGACAGGCCAGCAUCAGUUUCGGCGGCCGGAUAAAGGCAUUGGGAAUGUGGCCUUCACUUCGGUGGAGGUGUUAUAGCCCAGUGUGUAAUACGGCCAGCCGGGACUGAGGU
This 543-nucleotide ribosomal RNA is filed under the name Aureobasidium pullulans. Its description in RNAcentral is "LSU rRNA". It matches the Rfam family "Eukaryotic large subunit ribosomal RNA", at positions 48 to 599 of the family's 3401-position model. The record is from RNAcentral. Lineage: Eukaryota; Fungi; Ascomycota; Dothideomycetes; Dothideales; Saccotheciaceae.